CCUACGGGAGGCAGCAGUGGGGAAGUAUUGGACAAUGGACGAAAGUCUGAUCCAGCAAUGCCGCGUGAGUGAUGAAGGCCUUAGGGUUGUAAAGCUCUUUUACCAGGGAUGAUAAUGACAGUACCUGGAGAAUAAGCUCCGGCUAACUCCGUGCCAGCAGCCGCGGUAAUACGGAGGGAGCUAGCGUUGUUCGGAAUUACUGGGCGUAAAGCGCACGUAGGCGGUUAUUCAAGUCAGAGGUGAAAGCCCGGGGCUCAACCCCGGAACUGCCUUUGAAACUAGAUAGCUAGAAUCCUGGAGAGGUGAGUGGAAUUCCGAGUGUAGAGGUGAAAUUCGUAGAUAUUCGGAAGAACACCAGUGGCGAAGGCGGCUC
Molecule: ribosomal RNA, 373 nt
Filed under: uncultured bacterium
Lineage: Bacteria
Description: bacterial SSU rRNA
Rfam family: Bacterial small subunit ribosomal RNA
Source: RNAcentral